UGCAUGCAAAAUGACGCCAUCUCUCUUCCAAAUGCUGCUAUUGGCUGCUGCCUCGAUAGGAAUAGCGCAAACGCGGCAUUUACUCGCCAAGGAAUUGGCAAAACACCAAGUGACGUCAUCACUGGGCACAAGGGUUGCUAGCGUUGAAACGCAGAGCAUUCUCAAAUAUUACAACAAUAACAACACGAGCUUUGCGGUAGAGGGCGCAAACGCCAGCUCAACACAGCAGCCGCAGCCGCAGCCAGCAUUGGAGCAUCCAAGGCAAAGACAAUUGAGGCUCGAGGACGACGGCAACGGCAUCGCUUUGACUGUCUACAUCAGAUCGCCGAAGAGUGUAGUUCAGGACUGGAGUUUGGUGUGCCAGCAGCUCUGCGGAGCUGGCCUGGGCGGUCCGCCGUGCGAUUCCCACUGCCACAGCAGCGAGGAACCGUCGCUUCUACCAGCGUUUUCCGGCUACAAACAAAAUAUUUGCAAGGAUCUUUGUAGACUACAGCUCGGUGAUCAAAGUUGCAACUGCACGGCUGACGAAGCGGUCACCACUAUGUCACAAAACACUACGAACUCCCAGUACGAAUGGGGCAAUGUAGUCUGCAACAGCUUUUGUGAACAUUCCAGAGAAACAUUGACCGGCUGUAGCAUCUGCAUGGAGGACGACGCGGAAGUGCAGGUUUCGAUGCGAUCCACGGUGGAAACAACAACACCAGACUGGAAGGAGUUGUGUGUCGCUUUAUGUAAAACUGGCGAUGGCGGGUCUUUGUGCAAUUGUGAUUUGGCGCCGUUUUUUUAAAGAUCUAGCAGGGCGCGAGCACGGGUGGGCAACAUUAAACAUUCGGAUGUUUGAAAGCGACCUAGCCAAAGAGACUCAAAGGGGGUCCUUGCUACCUGUGAAAUGUUGCUGACUUUUAGCUGCUCUGCGAAGUCUCUUAAAUGAAAUUUAUUUCGACGACAACACUUUAUAGUUAGUAUAUUGUUAACUGUUUUAAUUGGCUUAACUUAUGGUAUGUUAUUAAAGAAAUAAACUACAACUCAUACAUACAUACAUACAUGUGAGAAUAAUUUAUGUUACAGACUUACAGAAAUUGUAACUCAGUUAAAUUUUCAUGGUUAGAAGAAACCUUAGCCAAUUCAAGUUGCUUUUGUUUCCUCAGUUUAUGCAGUACAUAAAUACAUAAAUAUGUAAAGCCCAGAAGGUGUGGCAAGCGUUGCAUGAGAGUGAGAAAGUAGACGUGUCAAAUUAAAAU
This 1241-nucleotide unclassified non-coding RNA is filed under the name Rhagoletis pomonella (apple maggot). RNAcentral describes it as "uncharacterized LOC118748002, transcript variant X3". Lineage: Eukaryota; Metazoa; Arthropoda; Insecta; Diptera; Tephritidae. The record is from RNAcentral.